GAAGGAAGCAAAAUAUCAACAACAGCCGAGGCGGCUCAGGCGCUCGGCCCCGGUUCCCCGCUUGCCUGCCGCCCGCCUGCUGGCCCCCGCGCCCACGACGGGGGCCCAGGCCUCACGGCGCCGCCCAGGGCCCGCGCGGACGCCGGCCUCAUUUAUUAUUCUCCCCGCCCGGAGCUGCGGCUUCCCGGUGUUGAAGAUCCCCCGGACCAGGGGCGAGGGCUACCCGCUCUUUGCCGUGACAACACCGUUCCCCCAGCCGGGCUGGAGGCUGUGCAGAAGGUAUCCUGCAGACCAUGAACUGAGCACUGUUCCCAGACCGUUCAUGAGCACAGUGUAAGGUGUGCCGAGACCCACAGCCACAGCAGCCUCAGCAGCCGCAACAGCCACCUCAGCAACAGUCCCACCUGGUCCCUGUAUCUCUCAGCAACCUCAUCCCGGGCAGCCCCCUGCCCCACGUGGGUGCUGCCCUCACAGUCACCACCCACCCCCACAUCAGCAUCAAGUCAGAACCGGUGUCCCCAAGCCGUGAGCGCAGCCCUGCGCCUCCCCCUCCAGCUGUGUUCCCAGCUGCCCGCCCUGAGCCUGGCGAUGGUCUCAGCAGCCCAGCCGGGGGAUCCUAUGAGACGGGAGACCGGGAUGACGGACGGGGGGACUUCGGGCCCACACUGGGCCUGCUGCGCCCAGCCCCAGAGCCUGAGGCUGAGGGCUCAGCUGUGAAGAGGAUGCGGCUUGAUACCUGGACAUUAAAGUGACGAUUCCCACUCCCCUCCUCUCAGCCUCCCUGAUGAAGAGUUGACAAUCUCACCGCCCGCCCUUCCCUGCCCCGGGCUCCUCCCGCUCGACCCCCACUUCCUUUCUUGUGCUUCGUGUCCUGUUGACGGUUACAUUUGUGUAUAAUUAUUAUAUUAUUAUUAUUAUUAUUAUAUUUUUUUUAAUUUGGAUUCUCGCUUUGGAGAGGGGGAUGCUCUCAUCCCCUCUUUCUGUACCCCCCACCAUUUUCACUGGCUGGGGGGCUCUCUUUUUCGCGGGAAGGGGGGACACUUUGCACGUUGUACACAUAUGCUGCAGGAAGGGGGUGGGGGGCCCAAUAAGGCCUUUGGGAAAGGACAGGUGCCGAGCCCUGCAUGUGGAGCCCUCCCACCCCACCCCCAGAUAGAGGGAAAUAACCAAAAAACUACCAAACAACAGAAACCCACACUCUAGACUGAAACCCCAAAGUGGGCUUGAUGGGUGGGUUUGUGUUUCAAGGGGAAAGUGAGGCAGAGGUUCUGAAAAGGGUCUCUGUUUUUGUGUUCAUGUAGCCAUAGGCACAUGGAGCAGAAUACUUAAGCCUGGCCCCCAAAUGCCCCUGCACACACACGUGCCACACCUGCGCUGAUUCUUGUGUGUGCUGCACCCCCAAGGUGUGUGGGUGCUGGCUGAGCUUUGGGCCGGGAAGGCAGCCUGGGAAUCUGAGGCUGGAGACAGGGGUUUGAGGUGGGGGCCUCUCUGGAAGCACAUUUGGAGGGAAAGACAAGAGAGCCAUGAGGAGAGGGCUGAGGAGGGCAGAAGGGCUAGGCAGGGGGCAAAUUGAGCCCCUCCCUUCCCCAGUUUUUCUCUAAGAUAUACAGUGCAAUAGCUCCCCACCCCUCAGUUGACGCCAGCCCUGUAAAGCUGGCCACAGUGUGCAGGGAGAAUGGGGAGAGGGUCUUCAGUGAGGUGGCUGGGGCGAGAGUCGGCCUGGACUUCCCUGGGGUGCUCCAGGCCAGAGCUCUUUCAUUGGGGCGAGUGUGGUGAGGGGACGUCCUUGGUCUUGCACGCACACUACCUGGGGGAGUCAACACUGGGAUGGUCUGUGGGGUGGGAGGGCCUACGGAUGGGUCCGUAGAGGUCCCACCUCCCUCAUUCCUCCUUGGCCCCUCUCCCUAGCUUCUCCUGUUAGCUCCUUCUGCUCCUGACCCCACCUCCUUGCUCUUGGCGCCCCUAUUGUCUCUGGCUACCUCCUUGUCCCACCACCUCCAGGCUGCAUCCCACCUUCCCUCUUGGCUACUGUAAUUGUAAAUAGCGACCUUUGGAAAACGUUAGCGGUGUAACAGUCCAGGAAACUGUUUUUUUUUGUUGUUGUUGUAUUGAUAUGAAAUGAGAUUCUAUUUUUGUCAAAGUAUAUUGUAAUAAUAAUGACUCAAACGGCCCGUACUGUA
RNAcentral lists this long non-coding RNA (2180 nucleotides) under Homo sapiens (human). RNAcentral's name for it is "non-protein coding lnc-IQGAP3-2:2". Lineage: Eukaryota; Metazoa; Chordata; Mammalia; Primates; Hominidae. The record is from RNAcentral.